Non-coding RNA from Drosophila virilis, 3735 nucleotides. The record is from RefSeq and is a predicted model, not a curated record. NCBI's taxonomy places the organism in Eukaryota, Metazoa, Arthropoda, Insecta, Diptera, Drosophilidae.
UAUAUUGAAAAAUACAUAUAAACAGAAAAUUAAAUUUUAGCUGUCAUCGUACGUGACUGGAAUACAAAACAUAAAUAUUGCGUAGUCACGUGAAAAGGUGCCAAAAUGUCUUUAAAGCGUAAAAGCAUAUGGGCGAUACUGCUGAAAAUGGUGUGAAUGGUCGACUAUUUAAUGGAAUUCAAAUGUAAAAUCAAAGUUAAGAUAAUGCAAACCAAAGCACAGGUAACUCUUAAGUAUUUACGAUUUGAUGUCUUGGUAAAGAUUGAAAGACUCAAGAAGCACAUGGAUUAACUAGUCUUCAAGACUUGUCAGACUCUAGCUAAUAGGAAUCAAUAAAGAGGACACCCUGGGUCAACUAAUUGGUAUUGAAUUUUAUAUGAGUACAAUUAUUCAUUCAUCUCACUUACAGUUGAAGCUAGGUAUAUAAUGCCUUUGAAAAUUCAUAGCAGUUGCAGGCAACCUGGUAUUUGCAACCUUCAAUGCAGCCCACAUGUCCUUAGCCUAGGCUGACAUAAUAUUUAUUUAUUUUUUUUUUUUUUACAGAGUUUCCAUUGUGAAGGGAAUUUAAAAUAAUGUCGACUAUAUUUCCAUAAAGCUUUAUUCAUGCUUAUAGUGUACUGGAGGGUACUAUAUGCAUAUAUUGAAUAAAUUAUUGUUUACAGUACUUUCAGUAUGCCAUUAGGGUCUCGAGGCAGGGCUGGCUGGGUCCUUUUGAGCGCUUUGACUAGGUGCGUCUGCUCAGGGUGCAUCUUUAUUUAGCGCUGUUUGAUAACCACAACCGAUGCCAUUGUUGCUGCGGUCUGAAUUUUAAUUACAGUUCUUUGAGUAGCAAGGAAGCUUGCAUCAUUUUAAUGACACAAAGUCGCUUAGGAUACACACACCGUCUGCCUCCGUCUACGGCACUGGAAUGCACCCGAGUAAAUGCAACUGAAGUCGGGGCGCGCUUUGCAACCUGUUUGUGUCAUAUGCAAAUAGACAUCGGUCUUAGUAUCCUUUCUGCUUUUGGUAUGCAAAAGCUGCAACGGCAGCCAAUGAUGAGCAGGACCUACGGAUUUUGUGCGUGCCACAGCCACAAUGGCAACCCAAUCGACCCUAGCUGCAGAUGAAAGCCUGAAAACAUGGAAUGCGAAGUUGAUGCACCAAGCUCAAAUGCCCACCGGCAGACAUACUAAUUGACGGUAUGCAAUUUCCCAUACAAUCGUUCGUUGAUUCAGCAAAUAUUUGGAGAUAUCAGGUUUUUUUUGAAACGCAAAUUGAACCCAACCGUUGGAUGAAGAAACAACUGCAGGCAUUUGGUCCUUCACCUAAUUAAAUCAACCUUGAGCCAAUGAAUUGCUUUAAAGCAUUGCUUUGAAAUCAAUGGCAUUAGGUCAUCACCAAUUGCCAAUCGGCAAGAUAUUGCCAAGUGCCCUAAUUAAUCAGUCACAACAUAUUCAUUUGCAUAUUACGCAUAAUGGGCGUCAUGCUUACAGCUGCACAGUUUGAACUGCACAAACAUACACUGAGAAAAAGAAACCAGGAUAUAUGCGGAUCAACAGUCUCUUGAGCUAUGUGGGAAACGCAUUCAAAAACUUUAACCAGCUUAUUUAAAGUGCAAAGUCAACUUGUGUUAGGAACCUAAAGAACCCAAAAGAACAUUAUUUAAAGAAAAAUUAUUUCAUAUUCAAAAUACCACAUCAACCUGCUUAAAGCGAAAUAGUGUUGAAUAGAAUUCCUUGACUGAGACUUUUUUCUCAGUGGACGUAUGCAAUCAUAUUCAUAGUAGACAAUAUUGUGUAUACACAAUAUAUUCACACUUCGACUAGAAUGAAUAGUUUUAUGCGUCAAUGAGGACGAGGCAGGGGCUAGAGUUCGGACUGUGCCUGGAAACUGCUCUGUUGCCAUAGAGAGUGAGAUUGUCUGGCGCCACCACAAAAUUAAUAGACUUUGAUGUCGAAGCCCGACAAACUCAUUUUGUGAGCUGCUGCGCCCCGCCUACCCCAAGUGGGGCCGGGCCAAAAUGGGACGCAUGCCGCAUAAAUUUGGCAGAUUGAGCACUGAAAUAAUGUUGCGUCUCGGCGCAGUAACGAAAUGAACUAAUUUGUUAUAGAAAUCAAGUUGCCAUUUGCCUGGGCCAUUCCGCUGUCAUAUCCAAUAUUAAAUCAGUUAUGUUUGGCUGAACAAUAAUGGCCUGUUUUUGGAAUGGCAACGCGCAAGGCGGGCCACACAUGGCCUUAGACAAUAUAGUAAUUCGUAAGACAACAAAAUGUCUAGCCGCUGUAGCAUACAACUAAAAGAAAAUGCCAACGAACUAGAAGACCAGACUAGACAAGACUAGAGGAUACCCUUUAGAUCAUACAUUUUAAAUAAGGGUAUUCAAAUGCUAAGAACAAGCUGGGCUAAGGAUGGAAUUGCCUUUUGCUACUAUCACUCGUAUAAAAGUGGCAUAGGCAAUGCGAAAAUCCGACAAAAACGAGCGGGUAAGCGAAUCGGAAGCGACCGUCUCAUCAUUAUAAGAGAAAAUUGUUUUUGAAAACGUAAAUCGAGAACAAAAUGACCAGAAGCCUACGGCAUGUCAACGCAACAAUGGCCCAAAUAGAUAGACAAACAGGCUCUAAAGGAAACUUGAUGAACCGACCAGAGCAGGCGGUGUGUGUGUUGUGUGUGCGUUGUGUGUGUGUUUGCUGAUGCUGGUGGUUGCGGUGGUUGCGGUGGUUCCGGUGCGGUAAUCAUAUUUAUUUUUGGUCUUUGGGGUUUGAAAUGCAUUCGAGUGUAAAAAAAAUGCUUUAAACUUAUUUCGGUCGCUUGGCUGCUGAAAAAACAUGAACCUAACUUUGAACUUGUAUCAGGUGUAAUUUCAGGUGGCAAUACUUAUGCAGGCAUUUUAUUUUUACUUUUUUUGCAAUUACAGAUUUGUAUAUUUUCGGAAAUUUCCCCAGAUGCUAUUGAAGGACUCACGCGGCGGGGUGAGUGUGCUUAAGUUUUACAUUUUUAUGCUGGGGCAAUGCCAAACGUUCCAUUGGACCCUUGAAACUAAUUUUUGGUUGGGCGUGGCACACAAAAUGCACUCAAUUUGACAGUUUACAGAAUGCGACGAAUUUUUAUUCAUUUCAUAAAGUUUACCUGAAACGCCAGCGCAGCGAGGCAAAUGCGCACACAGCAAGGAGCCGCUCGAGCUGCUGAACGGGCGACGAGCCAGUCCAAGGAGAAGCCCAUGGCAUGUGGCAAUUUCGACCGGAAGAGCCGAAGUCUGUGAAUAAUUCAUUUAAAACAUUAUUUAUUAUAAUUUUAUAUUAAGUACAUGCAGUGGUUACUUUAUUGCAUUGCUGUUACAGCUCGAGACAGGCAAAUGAAAAAGCGAAUUGCUUAAAUUGAAAACCACAGGCUGACAGCUAAUGCCUUACCGGAAAUUAAUUAAAUGUGUUUGGCAGUUUAUUGAAAAAUCUAUUGUCAAGUAUCUAAGAUGUACCAAGGAUUAGAAAAAGUAACUAGAGGCCAUGUCAGAAACAUAAUAAGAAUUGGGAGCGCAAAGGCGUGGUCGCGGUUCAGUUUUCAGCAAAUCUUCGUGAUGGUCUUUACUUGGCAAUAAUAUCUUCAACCUAUCCUGCAUUGAGUGGCAUUAUGAUUAAUGAUGCGACCCAUUUGUGACAUAACUUUAAUACCCGAGGGACACUAAAGAAUACAUGCACAUCAAUAUCCAAAAGUCUGAAAUCAAUAUUUGUACAAUAAAUUCAACAUUUAUCGACAAAGUGAAAA